Molecule: ribosomal RNA, 440 nt
Filed under: uncultured bacterium
Lineage: Bacteria
Description: partial 16S ribosomal RNA
Rfam family: Bacterial small subunit ribosomal RNA
Source: RNAcentral
CCUACGGGGGGCAGCAGUGGGGAAUAUUGCACAAUGGGGGGAACCCUGAUGCAGCGACGCCGCGUGAGUGAAGAAGUAUCUCGGUAUGUAAAGCUCUAUCAGCAGGGAAGAAAAUGACGGUACCUGACUAAGAAGCCCCGGCUAACUACGUGCCAGCAGCCGCGGUAAUACGUAGGGGGCAAGCGUUAUCCGGAUUUACUGGGUGUAAAGGGUGCGUAGACGGUUAUGCAAGUCUGUAGUGAAAGUCCAAGGCUCAACCAUGGGACUGCUAAAGAAACUGUAAAACUGGAGUACAGGAGAGGUAAGCGGAAUUCCAAGUGUAGCGGUGAAAUGCGUAGAUAUUUGUAAGAACACCAGUGGCGAAGGCGGCUUACUGGACUGUAACUGACGUUGAGGCUCGAAGGCGUGGGGAGCAAACAGGAUUAGAUACCCCAGUAGUC